RNAcentral lists this ribosomal RNA (1406 nucleotides) under uncultured bacterium. RNAcentral describes it as "bacterial SSU rRNA". It matches the Rfam family "Bacterial small subunit ribosomal RNA". The record is from RNAcentral.
GAGUUUGAUUCCUGGCUCAGGAUUAACGCUGGCGGCGUGCCUAACACAUGCAAGUCGAGCGGCAGCGAGUUUUACACUGAAUUCUGGAAGCUUCUAGUUGAAAGAGAAGAUUUAUUCAAGAAUUUUGUGUAAAAUGUCGGCGAGCGGCGGACGGCUGAGUAACGCGUGGGAACGUACCCCAAAGUGAGGGAUAACGCAUCGAAAGGUGUGCUAAUACCGCAUAUGGUCUUCGGAUUAAAGCCUUCGGGCGCUUUGGGAACGGCCUGCGUAAGAUUAGAUAGUUGGUGGGGUAAUGGCCUACCAAGUCGACGAUCUUUAACUGGUUUGAGAGGAUGAUCAGUCAGACUGGAACUGAGACACGGUCCAGACUCCUACGGGAGGCAGCAGUGAGGAAUCUUCCACAAUGGGCGAAAGCCUGAUGGAGCAACGCCGCGUGCAGGAUGAAGGCCUUCGGGUUGUAAACUGCUUUUAUAAGUGAUGAUUAUGACAGUAACUUAUGAAUAAGGAUCGGCUAACUACGUGCCAGCAGCCGCGGUCAUACGUAGGAUCCGAGCGUUAUCCGGAGUGACUGGGCGUAAAGAGUUGCGUAGGUGGUUUAAUAAGCGAAUAGUGAAAUCUGGUGGCUCAACCAUUCAGACUAUUAUUCGAACUGUUGAACUCGAGAGCAGAAGAGGUAGCUGGAAUUUCUAGUGUAGGAGUGAAAUCCGUAGAUAUUAGAAGGAACACCGAUGGCGUAGGCAGGCUACUGGGCUGUUUCUGACACUGAGGCACGAAAGCGUGGGGAGCGAACCGGAUUAGAUACCCGGGUAGUCCACGCCGUAAACGAUGGAUACUAGCUGUUUGGGGUAUCGACCCCCUGAGUAGCGAAGCUAACGCGUUAAGUAUCCCGCCUGUGGAGUACGAUCGCAAGAUUAAAACAUAAAGGAAUUGACGGGGACCCGCACAAGCGGUGGAUCAUGUUCUUUAAUUCGAUGAUAACCGAUAAACCUUACCAGGUCUUGACAUCCUUGGAAUCUUUCAGAAAUGAGAGAGUGCUUUUUAAGAGCCAAGUGACAGGUGAUGCAUGGCCGUCGUCAGCUCGUGUCGUGAGAUGUUUGGUUAAGUCCAUCAACGAGCGCAACCCUUGUCAGUAGUUGUAUUUUUCUACUGAGACUGCCCCGGUAACGGGGAGGAAGGAGGGGAUGACGUCAGGUCAGUAUUUCCCUUACGUCCUGGGCUAGAAACGUGAUACAAUGGCUAGUACAAUGCGCAGCGAAGCCGCGAGGUGAAGCAAAUCGCAUCGAAGCUAGUCCCUGUUCGGAUUGUAGGCUGAAAACUCGCCUGCUUGAAGUCGGAAUCGCUAGUAAUCGCUGAAUCAGCUUGCUGCGGUAAAUACGUUUCCCGGUUCUUGUCCACACUCGCCCGUC